ACCUAAGCGAUAAUUGGUGUUUGUUGAGUGUUCACACAGAUUGCUUGUUCAUAGAGCAGGCCGUUGACCCUGGUAGGUCAAUGAGUUCUUUAACAAUUUGGAAAGCUGAUAGUAGACAUCAAGACGACUCUUAGGAGUUGUAUUUGAUGAAUACAAAUUGAGUUCUCAAACACUUCAAUCAAGUGUUUUGGAAAUUCUUCAAGGCGAGUCCACUUCCUUAACCCGGAGGUGAGACAAGUAAACCUAAGCUGGUUGCAAUACAAUCCGAUGAAAACUCAUCCGGGUUGUAU
Molecule: unclassified non-coding RNA, 290 nt
Filed under: Oceanimonas sp. 21
Lineage: Bacteria; Pseudomonadati; Pseudomonadota; Gammaproteobacteria; Aeromonadales; Aeromonadaceae
Description: 16S-23S ribosomal RNA intergenic spacer
Source: RNAcentral